GAUGAACGCUGGCGGCGUGCCUAACACAUGCAAGUCGAGCGAUUCUCUUCGGAGAAGAGCGGCGGACGGUGAGUAACGACGUGGGUAACCGUACGCCUCGUACACACGGAGUAACAAUACCGAAACGGUAAGUGCUAAUACGAGAUAAUAUGCUUUAUUCGCAUGGUAGAAGUAUCAAGACUUUGUCGGUACAGGAUGGACCCGCCGUCUGAUUAGCUAGUUGGUAAGGUAACGGC
This 236-nucleotide ribosomal RNA is filed under the name uncultured bacterium. Its description in RNAcentral is "partial 16S ribosomal RNA". It matches the Rfam family "Bacterial small subunit ribosomal RNA", at positions 28 to 264 of the family's 1533-position model. The record is from RNAcentral.